Paramuricea clavata is the source of this 269-nucleotide non-coding RNA. NCBI's taxonomy places the organism in Eukaryota, Metazoa, Cnidaria, Anthozoa, Malacalcyonacea, Plexauridae. The record is from the annotation of a GenBank genome assembly.
CUCAGGCGUUCACUCCGGGUACAGGGCCUUAACUAAGCGCAAACUACUUUAACGGAGGGCCCUGAAGGGGUAAAAUGGGAACUGGGAUUGAUCUAUUUUUAGACUGGGAAAAUGGGAUUUGGGUUGCUGGGACUGGGAUUUGGCCACUGGGAAUGGGAAAUGAAGUCCUCAAAAAUGGGAAUGGGAUUGAGGUAAUGCGAGUCGAUUCCCAAUUUUUCUACGUUUUAAGUAUUUUAAAAUACACUUUUGAACCGUUUUAGGUGUCUUUG